RNAcentral lists this transfer RNA (70 nucleotides) under Alloeorhynchus sp. RNAcentral's name for it is "tRNA-Val". It matches the Rfam family "tRNA". From Rfam's summary of the family: Transfer RNA (tRNA) molecules are approximately 80 nucleotides in length. Their secondary structure includes four short double-helical elements and three loops (D, anti-codon, and T loops). Further hydrogen bonds mediate the characteristic L-shaped molecular structure. tRNAs have two regions of fundamental functional importance: the anti-codon, which is responsible for specific mRNA codon recognition, and the 3' end, to which the tRNAs corresponding amino acid is attached (by aminoacyl-tRNA synthetases). tRNAs cope with the degeneracy of the genetic code in two manners: having more than one tRNA (with a specific anti-codon) for a particular amino acid; and 'wobble' base-pairing, i.e. permitting non-standard base-pairing at the 3rd anti-codon position. The record is from RNAcentral. Lineage: Eukaryota; Metazoa; Arthropoda; Insecta; Hemiptera; Nabidae.
CAAGUUAAAGCUUUUAGUAAGCAUUAUUAUUUACAUUAAUAAGAUGAGGGUUAAAUUCCUUCUAAUUUGA